RNAcentral lists this ribosomal RNA (254 nucleotides) under uncultured bacterium. Its description in RNAcentral is "partial 16S ribosomal RNA". It matches the Rfam family "Bacterial small subunit ribosomal RNA", at positions 524 to 776 of the family's 1533-position model. The record is from RNAcentral.
UACGUAGGGUGCAAGCGUUGUCCGGAAUUAUUGGGCGUAAAGAGCUCGUAGGCGGUGUGUCGCGUCGGUCGUGAAAACUUGGGGCUUAACUCUGAGCUUGCGGUCGAUACGGGCAUCACUGGAGUUCGGCAGGGGAGACUGGAAUUCCUGGUGUAGCGGUGAAAUGCGCAGAUAUCAGGAGGAACACCGGUGGCGAAGGCGGGUCUCUGGGCCGGCAUUGACGCUGAGGCGCGAAAGCUAGGGGAGCAAACGGG